RNAcentral lists this small RNA (2790 nucleotides) under Caenorhabditis elegans. RNAcentral describes it as "Unclassified non-coding RNA Y55F3AM.24". Lineage: Eukaryota; Metazoa; Nematoda; Chromadorea; Rhabditida; Rhabditidae. The record is from RNAcentral.
AUAAUGACUUCAAUUCCUUCAAGUUUUCAUCCACUCCUGAAGAGCCAAAAAACAUUGGCUGCCAAAAAAUGAAGGUAUGUAUUACAUAUAUUAAUAUAUGCAGUACCAGUUUUUAAAAAACUGUAUUUCAGUCCUCAAAGAUGCAUCUCCAAGACAGACCGUACAAGUGCCCACGAGAUGAAUGUGACAAGAAGUUCUCAAGAAGUGACGAACUGACGAGACAUAUUAGGAUUCAUACAGGCCAAAAGCCAUUUCAGGUACUGACAGCGACUAGUAAUCAAAAAUUCAAAAGCUGAAAAACGAUCUUGGUACAAAAGUAGAAAUUAUUUUGUGUAUGUGUGAGACUAUGGAAAUCCAAAUAUCUUUUUUUGUUUCAAAAUUUUAGGCAAAUAAGUUUCAGGAAAUGACGUUCAGAAUAGCUCUGAUGAGUGAUUUAAAUACAUUAUUUGAGAAAUCUGAAAAUCUAUUUAAAUAAAUAGUAGUGGAUGUGGGAAAACAAAUGGAAUAUGUAGUACCUAUUUAGAUAAAUACUACUAAAAGUACAGGAAAUUUUCAUAAAUUGGGAGAAAAAACUUCAAGACUUCGAAAAUUUUCUUAUAAGUCAUGUUUGUUGAGUUCAAGCUGCUUUAUGUAAAAACCGUGCUGUAAAACGGUGUAAUUUAAACACGAAAAUGUCAUGUCCAAUUCAAAUAAAAUUAUAUCAUAAAACGAUAAGUAUAUCGAAAUUUUUGGAAAAGUCACAACUCAGGCAACUCAAAUCUAAUAUAAAAAUAUUAAAUAGCAAUAUUUUUGUAGUAAAAACGAGAAAUAGUGCGUCCAUAUACGAUUACUAAAAAUUUCGAAUAGAUUUCAAUUUUGUCUCAAAAGAUUACAAUUUCAUCUCAAAAUAUUGCGAAAGUGUGAAAUUUCUAGGAAGACUUCGGUUUUAUCUCAAAAGAUUACUAAUUUGUCACAAAAGACUGCGAACUCGUCUCCGAAGAUUGAGAUUUCAUCUGCAAAGAUUGAGAUUUCGUCUCAGAAUAUUGCGAUUUUGUCUCAAAAUAUUGCGAAUUUGUUUCUAAAUAUUAAAAAUGCAUUCAACGACUAUUCUAGAACUGUUUUGUGAUAACUCGAAGAACUUUUGUUGCCAUUGAGGGGAGUUGAACUUGUCCGUCGCUUGUCGUUGAGUCUAUGAACCAUUAUCUUACCUGUUGAGCCAUUCUGUACGUGUCGCAUCUAGAUUUAGUUAUUGCUUAAGUAAAUAGUUGAUGGGCGCACGUCCUUUUCGUUACUUUUGAUGGGAAAUCAGUGACUUUUCGCAAAUUUUCUAAGUGUCAGAGCGAAAUUGGAUAACUUUCUUUGAAAGCGAAUGUGGAAAAACGAUUUAUUUGUUAUGCUUUUAAAAAUGUUAGAAUUGCAAUUUUUCCGAAUUUUUGUCAAAGAGAGAAUAAAAUUUUAUUUUUUCAAUAUUUUUUUUCACUAACAAUUUGAUUAAAAUGAUGAGUAUACUGGGAACAUGCUUGCUGUUGACAAUAUUUUAUGAUUUCAAUUGAAAUCAGAAAAUCUCAAACGCAUCACGCGUGAAUGAAUAGUUGUCAGUCUACUUUAAUGUAUUCGACCAAUCUCCGUGAUUGUUUGACUGAAUUUAUAAUAUGACCGGCCAAUUAUCUAGAAAAAAUUACAUGAGUGGACAGAUUUGUGAAUUCUGUGGCUUUCUCUGCAAAAACUCCUUCUACAAUAUGCAACGAAAAAUCAAAUAUCCGUUAACAGUUAGAUACUCCUUUUUUAUAGAUUUUCAUGUAGCUGUUUUUUACUUUGAAAAGUCUUUUAUCAUUUGAAAGAAAAGAGAAUUUAGAACGGAACAGUAAUCAUAAUUGCAAUAUGUUGUAUAUAUAUCACGAUCAUGUGAAGCCGAUGGAAAUUUGGAAAUGGUGUUUUGUAAUCUUUAUGGACUGCAAAAAGAUUGCAAAUUAAUCUUAGAAUAUUACACAUUUGUUUGUAAUAUUUUUAGAUUUCAGAAAGAUUGCGAACCAAUCUCAAAAGAUUGCUAUGUCAUCUCAAAAUAUUACGAAUUUUUCGUAAUAUUUUCAGAUUCAGAAAUAAUGCGAAUCAACCUCAAAAUAUUGCGAAAUAUUCUCAAAAGAUUGCUCAAUCUAAAAAGAUUUUGAAUAAGUCUCGGAAUAUUGCGAUUUUAUCUUGAAAUAUCACCCAACUACAAAAAUAUUGCUAUUUAAUAUUUUCAUAUUAGAUUUGAGUUGCCUGAGAAAACAAAAAAAACUUUCUUUCCAUUUUUUUCAAUUCGAUUUUUUGGAGUAUUGGCCUAUUUCAUUGAUAUAAGCUCAACAGGAGCUUCAAUUUAAGUAUAAUCAUGACCUACUUUGCUUAAACUCCACAAAAGUUGGGUCCCGCCACGAAAACUACAGUAACCCGGGAGUUUUCGUGGUGGGACGCGGCAUAGAGCCAAGUAGGUCAUGAUUAUCUUUAUUUUAAAGAUCUUGGUGAACUGUAAAUGAUAAUAAUAUCAAAAACAAAAUUAAUCCGAAUAUGUUCAAAAUUUUGGAAAUUUCAAAAAAAAAGUUUUUUUCAAAAUUAAUUUUUUUGGAAAAUUUUUCUCUCAAAGCUGAACUCAUUAAUAACAUAAAUAAAUUUUUCAGUGCCGAAUUUGUAUGCGUCGUUUCUCCCGAUCGGACCAUUUGACGACCCACGUGCGCACUCACACUGGCGAAAAACCAUACUCCUGCGACAUUUGCGGCAAAAAAUUUGCGCGAUGUGAUGAACGAACGCGGCACACAAAAAUUCACAAGAAAUCGG